UCUUCUAUGAUCAGGCUGGUAUUCUAAGGCCAAUAGUUAUUGAGCUUUCACUUCCCCCAUCACCCUCUUCACCUUGCAACAAACAUGUUUACAUUCAUGGGCCUGAUGCCACGACACAUUGGAUCUGGAAACUAGCCAAAGCUCAUGUCUGCUCAAAUGAUGCUGGUGUUCAUCAACUAGUAAAUCACUGGUAAAAGAAAAGAUUGUACUCAAUGAAAUUUAAAAAAGCAAGGCAUGCACGUUUCUAACCUGUGGGUGUUUUUGAAUUCUCAGGUUGAGGACUCAUGCCUGCAUGGAGACUUAUCUAAUUGCAACUCACAGGCAGCUUAGUGCAAUGCACCCCAUUUACAAGUUGCUCCAUCCCCAUACACGUUAUACACUAGAAAUUAAUGCACUUGCACGGCAGAGCUUAAUAAAUGGAGGAGGAAUAAUUGAGGCCUGUUUCAGUCCUGGAAAGUAUGCCAUGGAGGUUAGCUCUGCAGCCUACAAGAAUAUGUGGCGGUUUGACAUGGAGGCAUUGCCAGCAGAUCUUGUUCGCAGGUAGAACUGGAGUGCAUUUUAAUCUCUUACUCUUUGUUUAUUUUUCAAGCUUUUAGAUACUUCCUGGUGAUCUGACCUGUCUGAAGCAGCGGCUAUUGCAGGACUGGACUGUUAGUUGGGUCCAUUCCUGACCUCCCACUUUUUUCAUGCUUUUAAUGCUUAACUGUUUCUAAACAUCACUUGCUGUAUUCUUGUUGCCAGCCUUCUUGUAGAACAAAUGAAAAAAAAAAAAAAUCAUAAUUGUGAUGAAAUUUUCAGGGGAAUGGCAGUGGAGGAUCCUUCGAUGCCUUGUGGAGUGAGGCUUGUGAUAGAAGACUACCCUUAUGCUUCAGACGGACUCCUCAUUUGGUCAGCCAUAAAAGAAUAUGUAGAAUCUUAUGUUGAUCACUUCUACUCUGAGCCUAACUCUGUCACAUCUGAUAUUGAGCUCCAAGCCUGGUGGAAUGAGAUAAAAAACAAGGGUCAUUUUGACAAGAGGAGCGAACCAUGGUGGCCUAAACUCGAUACCAAAGAAGAUGUAUCUGGCAUACUUACUACAAUGAUCUGGAUUGCAUCAGGGCAGCAUGCUGCUAUAAACUUUGGGCAGUACCCCUUUGGAGGGUAUGUGCCUAGUCGUCCUACCCUCAUGAGAAAACUCAUCCCGCUAGAAAAUGAACAUGAUCAUGAAAAGUUCAUCCGAAACCCUCAGCAUACUUUCCUGUCAUCUUUGCCAACUCAACUUCAAGCCACCAAAAUAAUGGCUGCUCAGGACACUCUGUCGACUCACUCCCCAGAUGAAGAGUACUUGGGUCAGGUAAGCCACCUGCACAGCCAUUGGAUCAAUGAUCACGAAAUAGUAGAAUUGUUCAAUAGAUUUUCUGCUCGAUUAGAGGAGAUUGAAGGAAUAAUAAACUUGAGAAAUAAGGAUGCCCGCCUUAAAAACAGAAGCGGUGCAGGUGUUCCACCAUAUGAACUGCUCGUUCCCACUUCAGGCCCUGGAGUAACAGGUCGAGGAAUCCCCAAUAGCAUUUCUAUCUAAAAGGUUAGCCUGGUUUAAAAUCAUUGUAAGUGUCAGAUAUUGCUGCCUUUGCCUAGCAUAUACCACUUUCUUUCUCAAAGAGCUUGUUCACCUAGCAUCUGCAAUAAAAUGUGAAGCAUAGAAGCAAUUUCUAUGGUAUUCAUAUUUAGACUAAGCACCUAGAGCUUUAUGAAUACAGUAUAUGACGUAGAAAAAACAAAUCAGAAAGAUCUAAAGUUUGAAUACCAGUGUGUUUGUGUGGUGUAAAUUAUUUUUGAUGUGCUUUGAUCGAUUAAAAAUGGAAGUUCUUUGCAUACUCGGGCCUUGGUAAUGGUAGGAAUACACAAUUAUCUGUACUAAAGGAUUUCAUCAGGGUUCUUUGCAGAGGCGGAGCAAGAAGAAAAAAGUAAGGGGGGCAAAUUAAAAGAAAUAUUUUAAAAAAAAUUAAAAUUUUAAAUAUUUUACAAAGGGAGAGGCUGGGAAAAAUUUCCUCGCAGGGCCCCUGCCAACCUCCCCUGCCUCCGCCACUGGUUCUUUGUAUGUAGAUUUAGAGGCAAUUGGAGUGUUCUAGAUUUUGUGCUGCUAGCACAAUGAUGCUUGAUUUACGCCCGUUUUAUCAUGUGUACUUCAAAAGUUUAGAGCAGUGGCAAAAUCUGAACUUGUAGAAUCUAGGACCAGGUCUUUUUUUCAAGAUUGCCAAGAAAAGGGUAUCCUUUCCCCUUCAUGCAGUCGAGAGAAGCCUUCUCCUUGUCUUUGAUAGCAUUGCUAUCUCUAAUCUCGAAAUCUUCAAGCAACUAGUUUAGGGUUAGGCGCUAGGCAGUGUGCAUUGUUUUCUCGGCUCCAUAACAGGAAGAUGGGAAGUUAGCCUUUCUUCUUUCUUUGCCAAAGCAGAUCCCACCGCUAUCAUGCAUGAUUCUCCCAAAAGAUUGCAGAGCUUCUUUGAUCAAUCUGUCUGGGGGUUUUAGUCUGUCAAUCUGUAACCCAGUAUUCACAGUACAUAGCCACCCCUCUGGUCGCCUAUUUUGUUCUCUUGGUCAAGAUACUGGACCAUCUUGAUUCAAACGCAUGCCUGAGUUGUCUUAGAGAUCUUGGCAUAUUGAAAUGCGAGUGGCCCAGAGUACUGAACCACAUACGAAUCUUCUAAAAAAAAUUCAAAUUUAUAAUCUUCCAGUUGCAUUCCUGGGUAAUGAUUCAAUGAUCACUCGUUGUAAUCUCCUGUAUGGUGCCACUUACAGCAUAAUUAUUUGAACGAUCAGAAAGAUAAUUAUGAAACAUGGUUUUAAUUUAUCUGGUAUCAUCAUCGUGGAUUAGAAGUUAGAGAGAACCUGUCUGGCAAUAAAAUCCUUGAUUUUUUAUUCUUCUUUAAUGCUUCCUUUCUGUCUUGCCGCGAAGGCCACGGACACUUGACCUGCUUCCUCAUCAGGAUAUUGCUUACGGAAUUGCAGCAGUUGCUUCGUCAUCACCAACGUAACCUGUGCUAAAAUGACACCAAUUAAUGCCAACAAGGUGAAACAACAUCAUCAGACUAGGCCUGAUCUCUCAUAAUUUCAUCCACCGCCAUGACAGGCUAACUUAACACAGCUUUGUAUAUCUAAUACACUAAAACAAAUCCCAUGGGGAAUACGAAUGAUUAGUUGAUUACCUUUCGUCAUUGUCUCUCCUCUAACCCAAAGCUCCCCGGGCCUGCAAGGAGUCUGGAUCAACAAUCUUUGCUUGGCAAUUGAUAUAAUCUUUCCUGUUUCUCCAACAACUUCACUUUCUAAGACCUACUGUUCC
This 3313-nucleotide long non-coding RNA is filed under the name Populus trichocarpa (black cottonwood). RNAcentral describes it as "long non-coding RNA (PTRI_LNC002187)". Lineage: Eukaryota; Viridiplantae; Streptophyta; Magnoliopsida; Malpighiales; Salicaceae. The record is from RNAcentral.